UUCGUCCAAUUGAAGCAGAGGACAGUGGCGGACGGGUGAGUAACGCGUGAGGAACCUGCCUUUCAGAGGGGGACAACAGUUGGAAACGGACGCUAAUACCGCAUAACAUCUGAGAGUCGCAUGGCACUCAGAUCAAAGGAGCAAUCCGCAGGAAGAUGGGCUCGCGUCCGAUUAGCCAGUUGGUGAGGUAAAGGCCCACCAAGGCGACGAUCGGUAGCCGGACUGAGAGGUUGAACGGCCACAUUGGGACUGAGACACGGCCCAGACUCC
Molecule: ribosomal RNA, 270 nt
Filed under: uncultured Eubacteriales bacterium
Lineage: Bacteria; Bacillati; Bacillota; Clostridia; Eubacteriales
Description: uncultured Clostridiales bacterium partial 16S ribosomal RNA
Rfam family: Bacterial small subunit ribosomal RNA
Source: RNAcentral